GGUGGCCUAGCUGUCCGUAUCACCCCCAAAUGCAACCUUCCAGUCCCAAACCCAGGCGUUCUAAGCGCUCAGGACGACGAUUUGCGCUCACGCCAGGACCCUAGUCCUCAUUGGACCCUUCCUCAUUCUAUCCUCAUUGAGGCCAUUUGAGAAUAGGAGCCAUCUGAGAAUGCAGGGGAGUGGACAUCAUGUGCAGACAGGUAGUCUGAUUGUGAGUUCCGCGGGGCUGAGCCCUGCUUGGACAUGGCCUGCUGGUGCCACCGGGCUUGAAUGGUCUUCAAAUCCACUGCUAUUAGGCAAAUUAUCUGGUUCCCGCUGAACCCCAGCACCUAGAACUAUGUCACACUCAUAGUAGGUCGCCGCAUUGGUUGAACAAAUGAUUUUGAAAGAAUGAAUGGCUUCCUCUGUGCCUGCAUUUCCUCAGAAGGUUGUAACAAAGAUUAAAUAGGAAAAUUCGUGGAAAGUUCAAU
This is a long non-coding RNA of Rhinopithecus roxellana (golden snub-nosed monkey), 470 nucleotides long. RefSeq lists it as uncharacterized. The transcript has 2 exons. NCBI's taxonomy places the organism in Eukaryota, Metazoa, Chordata, Mammalia, Primates, Cercopithecidae. The record is from RefSeq and is a predicted model, not a curated record.